Molecule: long non-coding RNA, 562 nt
Organism: Thunnus maccoyii (southern bluefin tuna)
Lineage: Eukaryota; Metazoa; Chordata; Actinopteri; Scombriformes; Scombridae
Exons: 3
Source: RefSeq, a predicted model, not a curated record
GAUACGGGCAGGUGGGGUCAGGUGGGGUCAGAUACGGGCAGGGGGGGUCAGGUGGGAUCAGGUGGGGUCAGGUGGGGUCAGAUACAGGCAGGUGGGAUCAGGUGGGGUCAGAUACGGGCAGGUGGGGUCAGAUACGGGCAGGUGGGAUCAGGUGGGGUCAGAUACGGGCAGGUGGGGUCAGGUGGGGUCAGAUACGGGCAGGUGGGAUCAGGUGGGGUCAGAUACGGGCAGGUGGGGUCAGAUACAGGCAGGUGGGGUCAGAUACGGGCAGGUGGGGUCAGGUGGGGUCAGAUACGGGCAGGUGGGAUCAGGUGGGGUCAGGUGGGGUCAGAUACAGGCAGGUGGGGUCAGGUGGGGUCAGAUACAGGCAGGUGGGGUCAGAUACGGGCAGGUGGGGUCAGGUGGGAUCAGGUGGGGUCAGGUGGGGUCAGAUACAGGCAGGUGGGAUCAGGUGGGGUCAGAUACAGGCAGGUGGGGUCAGAUACGGGCAGGUGGGGUCAGAUACGGGCAGGUGGGGUCAGAUACGGGCAGGUGGGAUCAGGUGGGGUCAGAUACGGGCAGG